AAAAAAAAAAAAAAAAAAAAAAAAAAAAUUAGGAAAAAAAAAAAAAAAAAAAAAAAAAAAAAAAAAAAAAAAAAAAAAAAAAAAAAAAAAAAAAAAAAAAAAAAAAAAAAAAAAAAAAAAUAGGGGGGAUAAAAAAAAAAAAAAAAAAAAAAAAAAAAAAAAAAAAAAAAAAAAAAAAAAAAAAAAAAAAAAAAAAAAAAAAAAAAAAAAAAAAAAAAAAAAAAAAAAAA
Molecule: unclassified non-coding RNA, 230 nt
Filed under: Athalia rosae (coleseed sawfly)
Lineage: Eukaryota; Metazoa; Arthropoda; Insecta; Hymenoptera; Athaliidae
Description: misc RNA ENSAEAG00005008475.1
Source: RNAcentral